GGCCACGUAGCUCAGCUGGAAGAGCAGGACACUUCUAAUGUUCAGGUCGGGGGUUCGAACCCCUCCGUGGUCGCCA
RNAcentral lists this transfer RNA (76 nucleotides) under compost metagenome. RNAcentral describes it as "tRNA-Arg". It matches the Rfam family "tRNA". From Rfam's summary of the family: Transfer RNA (tRNA) molecules are approximately 80 nucleotides in length. Their secondary structure includes four short double-helical elements and three loops (D, anti-codon, and T loops). Further hydrogen bonds mediate the characteristic L-shaped molecular structure. tRNAs have two regions of fundamental functional importance: the anti-codon, which is responsible for specific mRNA codon recognition, and the 3' end, to which the tRNAs corresponding amino acid is attached (by aminoacyl-tRNA synthetases). tRNAs cope with the degeneracy of the genetic code in two manners: having more than one tRNA (with a specific anti-codon) for a particular amino acid; and 'wobble' base-pairing, i.e. permitting non-standard base-pairing at the 3rd anti-codon position. The record is from RNAcentral.